Molecule: microRNA precursor, 128 nt
Filed under: Tursiops truncatus (common bottlenose dolphin)
Lineage: Eukaryota; Metazoa; Chordata; Mammalia; Artiodactyla; Delphinidae
Description: miRNA (ENSTTRG00000024551.1)
Source: RNAcentral
CAGAUAAAAUACAGUAUAUUAAAACAUAUGAAUAAUUUUUUUAGUGUAAGUAUAUCACACGUGGAAUACUUUGGGACGUACUUAUACUAAAAAAUGAGCUGUUGUUUAUCUGAAAUGCAAAUUUAACU